AUCACCACCGCCAUCAGAGGUCAUUGGGUGUUACUACUAACUUGGGUGACACUAAACAGAUCUGGGAUACAAUCCUAGCUAAUUCGUUGCGCACUGUCUGACAUUGGGUGAAUCGCUUCACCAAUCUGUGCCUCAAUUUCUUGACCUUUAAAAUGGGGGUGAUGAUACUUGUCCCCAGAGCGAAAUGUACUGCAAAGUGAAUGAAGCUAAAGCUUAGGUAGCCCUCACUUCUAAAGACCUGCUUUUGUAUCUAAUUUCAUGUUGGCCCUUUUCCAAGUUGUACUCAGCGUGGAAAUUUUUGUCAACAUAAAUCUAAGGACAAGAAAUUUCUUCCUAGAGAUACAACACAAGUGAGACAGAUGGGAUGGUUGGGGUGGGGAAGCAUCACAGAGCAUGGGGCUGGUUCAGGGCUCUGGGCUGCCAACUUUACAGAGUUCUCAUCUCAGCAUCUACAUCUGCACAGACUCAUGCAGUAGCCUAUAACAACCAGGAGAGCUAAGGCUCCUGAAUACGGGACCUGGAAGUUAUGACCUUUGAGCAAUUGUAGCCAGAAAGAAGCCUUGUCUGCUAUUGGAUUUGGAGCCCCAGCAGAGGGGGUGAGCCAUCUAGGACAGACUGGAGGACGACAAGGAAGUGUGGCCACAGACAAUCAAUAGAAUGAAAGAAGACACUGUCAACGGGAAGGGAUGAAACAUUCCUCACAGCCCCACCUGGCUAAGGUUUCACCAGCCAUUAGCGUGGGGGGCCUGGAAGUGAAUAUGGGAGGCAUAUUAUGUUUAUUUGUCCUUUGUACAUUCACGUGCAAGUUGAUGAUUUGAUGAGCGGUAUAUAGUUUAUUCUGUAGUGUGGGAUUGGCCACAGGAGUAUAAUUUAAUUAGGGCUGCUCUGCAUACUGAUUUGCUUAGUUUGAAGCCCAUUCCUCCCCUGGGCAGGGAAGUCUCUAAGCCUC
This 949-nucleotide long non-coding RNA is filed under the name Homo sapiens (human). RNAcentral's name for it is "HSALNT0340320". The record is from RNAcentral. Lineage: Eukaryota; Metazoa; Chordata; Mammalia; Primates; Hominidae.